GAUGAACGCUGGCGGCGUGCCUAAUACAUGCAAGUAGAACGCUGAAGGAGGAGCUUGCUCUUCUGUAUGAGUUGCGAACGGGUGAGUAACGCGUAGGUAACCUUCCUGGUAGCGGGUGAUAACUAUUGGAAACGAUAGCUAAUACCGCAUGACAGCAGUUAUUGCAUGAUAACUUUUUAAAAGCAGCAACUGCUCCACUACCAGAUGGACCUGCGUUGUAUUAGCUAGUUGGUGAGGUAACGGCUCACCAAGGCGACGAUACAUAGCCGAGCUGAGAGGGUGAUCGGCCACACUGGGACUGAGACACGGCCCAGACUCCUACGGGAGGCAGCAGUAGGGAAUCUUCGGCAAUGGACGGAAGUCUGAACGAGCAACGCCGCGUGAGUGAAGAAGGUUUUCGGAUCGUAAAGCUCUGUUGUAAGAGAAGAAAGAGUGUGAGAGUGGAAAGUUCACACUGUGACGGUAGCUUACCAGAAAGGGACGGCUAACUACGUG
RNAcentral lists this ribosomal RNA (495 nucleotides) under uncultured bacterium. Its description in RNAcentral is "partial 16S ribosomal RNA". It matches the Rfam family "Bacterial small subunit ribosomal RNA", at positions 28 to 507 of the family's 1533-position model. The record is from RNAcentral.